CCGGGGCUUCUUGUCUUGUGCCAAUAAAAUUUAGGACAUGGAAACAUACAAGGAGUUUAGGAGUGGAGGUUUAAUAGGCAGAAGAAAGAGAAAGAACAGCUGAGAGGGGCUUCCUAAAGGAAAAGACCAGCCAGCAGCGGAUGCGCCGGAUUUUACAGGCAGGCUUGAGGAGGCAGUGUCUGAUUUACCUAUAGCCCACAGACUGCAGGUGUGAUGUUUACAUAGCAUGCGGGGAAGGAUGGCCAUCCAAUCCUAAUCUUAUUAUGCAAAUGAGCUUUCCACUCGACUAGCGCCAUCUUGUCUGCUUCUUACUAUACACGUGGCUGACAAACAGAAGGGAAGAUGGAACCGCCAUUUUGGACAUGAUUGGCACAAGUACUGGCAUCCAUGUCUGCAGCUCGAUUUUACAGACUGCUCUUUAUUAGAAAGGAAAGUUAUUUGGGGCUGCUUUUCAUUAAAAGGAAAACCUUGCCAAGGACUUCUGUACCCUCAAUAUCUGCCUCACUGAUUCCACAGGGAGAAGAUUUCUACUCCCAGCACAUCUUGUCUUCUGGCUUCGUUGCACCAAGGAAGGCUGCGUGCCUUAACCAUCAUCAGAGCAGUAAGUACCUGGUCAGGAGAGCAGGGGCUUGAACUGGCAAUGCUAAGGGAGGCUGUUGAACUCUUGAUCAGCUUGAAGGAUGAAAUUUAUACAUUUGAACUUCUUAGAUUUGGGAGCAGUGGAGUCUAUUGCUGCAUUUUUGUCAACCUCCAGCUUGGGAUGGGCCAGCUCUUAGUGAAAGGUAUCUGGCCCAUUUCUCUCUUAGGUGGGAAAGUUCUAAUCAUCUAGAAUGAUUCAAAGCUUGUGAGAGACUAUAGCUGAUCCUGUUGGUUGGCAAGAGAGCCAUUCUCUACCCUCUUCUCCAUUGUCCCCUAGGUCUCAGGGUCUCAGCAUCUAAACUAGGUAGGCUUGUCAAGGAAUUUCCUCCGGAAUAAAAACAGUCUCAAAAAUAAAAUAAAAUAAAAAUAAAAAAAUAAAAAUCCUAACAUUGAUACAGUUCUUCAUAUGUAUUAAGCAUUAUCCUAAAAAUUUUGCACAUAUCACCUUACUUAAUGCUCAAAACAACCCAAAAUGAUAGACACUCUUAUCACUCCCAUUUUACAGACAGAGAAACUGAGCUCUGUCCUAAGCAUUUUACCUGUAUCAGGCCCUACACACUGAAUGUAUCUGUGCAACCGUGAAUCUGUGGCUGGUGAGGAAGGAAAGCAGGUGCCAUGCACCAUCCACCAUUCUCUUUCAUUACUUCUGUUCCCAGAAAUAGCCAUGUCUGUGUUCUGGCAGUGAUAGAGCGACAGCCAAGUGUCCAUAGGGCAAGCGGCAACUUUUCUACCUGACAAGCCAGUAGAGUAAUCUGGAGUGUUGUUCUUGGCUAAGUGGCUUCCAAACUAUUUUCUCGCCCUCCCAGACAAUCUAUAAGCUCUUGAUAGUUUUUAGAAAAUUCACUUUCAGCCUGUGAUGGUUGAGUGUCAACUUGAUUGGACUGAAGGAUGCAAAGUAUUGUUCCUGGGUGUGUUUGUGAGGGUGUUGCCAAGGGAGAUUAACAUUUGAGUCAGUGGACUCGGAGAGGCAGACCCACAGUCAAUCUAGGUGAGCACCAUCUAAUCAGCUAUCAGUGCAGCUAGGAUAAAAGCAGGCAGAAGAACGUGGGAGGACUAGACUGGCUGAGUCUUCUGGCUUCCAUCUUUCUCCCAUGAUGGAUGCUUCCUGCUCCCGAACAUCGGAUUCCAAGUUCUUCAGCUUUUGGACUCAUGGACUUACACCAGUGGAUUGUCAGGGGCUCUCAGGCCUUUGGCCACAGACUGAAGGCUGCACUGCUGGCUUCCCUACUUUUGAGAUUUUGGGACUCGGACUGGUUUCCUUGCUCCUCAGCUUGCAGACGGCCUAUUGUGGGACUUCACCUUGUGAUCAUGCAAGUCAAUACACCUUAAUAAACUCCCUUUCAUAUAUCUAUCUGUCUUUAGCUCUGUCCCUCUAGAGAACCCUAAUACACAGCCAGAGUGGUGUUCUGUUGUUGCAGCUGAGAGCACAGGCUGAUACAAUGUGUGAAGUACCUUGUACAAUAAACAUUGGUUUUCUCUUUUCUGCAGGCUGGCAUUUUGCAUCAAGUUUUUUUGUUUUUUGUUUUGUUUGUUUGUUUGUUUUGAGACAGCAACUAAAUUUCUAUUGUCCAGGCUGGAGUGCAGUGGCACAAUCUCAGCUCACUGUAGCCUUGAUCUCCUGGGCUCAAGCAAUCCUCUCACCUCAGCCUCUCAAGUAGUUGGGACUACAGGAACAUGCCACCAUGCCUGGUUAAUUUUUGUUUAGUUUUUUUCAGAGAUGAGAUCUCAUUAUGUUGCCCAGGCUGGUCUCGAACUCCUGGGCUCAAGCAAUCCUCCGUUCUCGACCUCCCAAAAUGUUGGGAUUACAGGCACGAGCCACCCUGCCAGGUCUUUUGCAUCAAGUCUUUAAGUGUUGUUUCAUGUUUAUGUCACUUAUUAAGAAUCACACACAAGAUCGUCCUUUGCAGGGACAUGGAUAGGGCUGAAGGCUGUUAUCCUUAACAAACUAAUGCAGGAACAGAAAACCAAAUACCUCAUGUUCUCACUUAUAUGUGGGCGUUAAAUGAUGAGAACACUUGGGACACAGUGAGAAACAACAAACAUUGGGGCUUAUUGGAGCAUGGAGGGUGUGAGGAGGGGGAGGAUCAGGAAAAAUAACUAAUGGGUACUAGGCUUAAUACCUGGGUGAUGAAAUAAUCUGUACAACAAACCCCCAUGACACAAGUUUACCUGUGUAACAAGCCUGCACCUGUAUGCCUGAACUUAAAAGUUUUUUUUAAAAAAAUAAUCACACAUGUUGUUUUCAUUAUGUUAAAUCCUGUGAGGUCUCAAGGUGAGUCUCCUUAAUAGAGAAUAAAAGAUGCGUCAUCACGUGAUUCUCGAAUGUGAGACUCCUACUGAAAAGCAAACAACAUUCUUCUUCAAUGUGUUGAAGAAUAAAGAGGUGUGAGUAAGGAUUUUCAGGUCUUUGUAGACAGUAGCACUGGACUCUUGUUGGCAUCUAUUCCCGCUUAUUCCACCACUGAGACACACCAGGACAGUGACCCAUCCUUUCCCCAGCUACCUAACUCACUCAAUCGUGUAGUGCAGUAGGUAGGAAGUCCUGUUGUCUUCAGCAAUGUGCCACCCACUGAACAUGUCCCUUAGUUCUUUCAAGCCCAGAGACAACUCCUUUUAAAAGAAUUAUUCAGCACAGUUCUUUAUUAUACUUUUAUUGUUUGUUUAAUUCAUUUUUGUCUGUUACAAAUAAAUUUCAAACUAGAGAGUCACAGAUGUUAAUAAACUCGCCCAAUGCAUCACCUGCCUCCGAAUUCCAUAGUUUCCACCGCCUUGCGCUACUUGCAUUCUGAUUAGAGAAUGGUAAUGUGUGCCUCUCUGAAUCAAGUUCAAGAAUAAAAUUUUUAUGUCAUACUUAAAAACUAUCCAGCACAUAUAACAACUUGCCUUUUAAAAACCCACAAAAGCAGUUUUCUGUGCAGUAUGGAAUCUUCCUGAGAAACUUAAGUUACAGAUUUAGGAAUUGUUCUAAGGAGGAAUAAGGCACCAAGAAGUAAGUCGAUGUCGAUGCUGUCCCCCUUGUAUCACAGUGUGCAGACAUGGGUUGAGCUUCUUCCAAACAAGAGCUACAAAAGGCACAGAAAGUUACCAAGGCAAAGCCAAAGAAACAAUGUGUUUUGCCAAAAUAUUUGAUAGCUCUGCCAGUUACAUGAGAGACGUGGACAUGGCACUAAACACGUUGACACAAAUGGUGACUCAGGGCUAAAGUAAGACCUACUGGAUGCUGCAAUUACUGUGGAUUGAGAGACACUGUUGUUGUAACAGGAAAGUAUAUAUACAGUCAUGUGUCGCAUAACCACUUUUCAGCCAAUGAUGGCCCAAACAGUGGACCACAUAUAUGAUGACGGUCUCAUAAGAUUAUAAUACUGCAUGUUUACUGUACCUUUUCUAUGUUUAGAUAUGUUUAGAUACACAAACAUUUACCAUCAGGUUAAAAUUGCCCACAGCAUUUAGUACAGACACACGCUGUACAGGCUUGUAGCCUAGGAGGAAUAGGUGAUACCAUGUAGCCUGGGUGUGUAGUAGGUUAGACCAUCUAGGUUAGUGUAAGUACACUCUAUGAUGUUCACACAAUGACAAAAUCAUCUAAUGAUGCAUUUCUCAGAACAUAUCCCCACUGUUGGCAUAUGAUGUAUGCAGGCUUGUGUGCGUGUGUUUGUGUAUGUAUCAUAUGACUGUAUACAGGCACGUGUGUGUGUGUGGGUGUAUGCAGUCAUAUGCACUUACGUAUGUGUGUGUGUGUCCUUUCAAGUAUUCAGUCUGAAAUCAAAGGACUAUAUUUGAAAAGGUGCCUCAAACAUUAUAAGGUCAAGAACCAUUACAAUAGGAAAAUGGUGAGCCUUAGGAAUUUAGAAAAGGGGCAUUAGGGCCCAGGUCAUUCCCACAGCCUUUGGGUAAGCAUGAUGGUGGGUGAAAGUUGGGAUGGUAAGAGAAUUUUCUACAGCAAAUGAGAAUGGAGUAGGCAGACAGGGAGUAGUAGAUUUACGAGUAAAAUAUGAGGUGUAUGAGCAACCAGUAAUCCAGUAGAGAAGUCACUUAUAGGAAAAGUAAUAUAUAUUGUGAGGGGGUAUUUAUACAUGUAGGUCAGAAAGUCCUUCGGGCCAGAGAUGGCAAAGAUACCCACGUUGGAACUACAGGGGGAAAGGAGGUAGAGAUGAGGCAUUGUGGUAAUGAAGAUAGACACACAAGGUCAUGCACGGAGAAAAGAGCACCCAGCCCCUCACCACCUCUGUGGCUCCCUGGGACCCUCUAAAGCACUGUGCAAAAUCCUUGUGACCACCCUCCCCUAAGGUCUCCACUGGCUCUGAACUUGAACACUCAAAUGAGUCUUCCUAGGGGAAAUUUCAAAAAUUGAUUUCUAAUAUUUUGAUUUCUUGUUUGGAAGGGGAUGUGGCCCAGGCAGCCACUUCAAGGGGUAUCCUGUUGAGCAAGGACUCGAUGAGUCCCGAAAGCAGCAACCAAAGUGGAAAGGAUCUUAAGAGGAAAACAGCAGGUCACCCAGGAGACUGACCGGGCCCCGAUUCUGAAGACAUUCUGCAGGGGGAGCUAAUGGCAACUUGGGGCAAGUCUGAUUCUCACUCAGAACUGGUCCCAAACCCCCAUCCUCAUGUCGAGCCAAGACUAAACUCCCACAAGGAUGUCUGCCAGGGGAGAAGGGGCUAGUGAAGAAUCCCUGGACUGACCAUGGUGGCUACAGCUACAAAGGCUCCUGUGGGAAACUGGAUUGUCAAGCAGGGGAGGAAGAAAGGAACCAACUCUGUUGAGUGCUUGCUUAUUUAGGAAGCUCUGUGCUGGACUCAAUUUUUGCUGUCGUCUUUAGUACUUACCACAUUUUAAGUUUUGUAAUCCUUAUUUGAGUGGCAAGGAAGUUGAAGUUCAGAAAGGUUAGGCAUUUUGUUCAAGAUGACAGCAUGAUGUCAAAAUAUGAAUCCAGAAAUGCCUGACUCCAACAUUUAGGCUAUUUUCAAUAAAUUGUGGUCAUUCCCUGAAGGAGUCUCAAAUUAAUUUAUUAAUCCUUUGUUCAACACAUAUGGUUUAUUUUCUUUAUUUUUGCUUUUAUUGAGACAGGGUCUCAAUCUGUCACUCAGGCCAGAGUGCAGUGGUGUGAUCACAGCUCCCUGCAGCCUCAACCUCCCAAGCUCAAACAAUCCUCCCACCUCAGUCUCCAGAGUAGCUGGGACUACAGGUGCACAACACCAUACCCAGGUAAUUUUUUUGGAGAUAAUGUCUCACUGUUAUUCCCAGGCUGGUGUAAAAACUCCUGAGCUCAGGCGAUCCUCCCGUCUCGGCCUCCCAAAGUGCUGGGGAUACAGGUGUGAGCCACCAUGCCUGGCUUAUGUUUUUUUCAAAACUAGAAAAUCUCCAGAUGUUAAAAACUAGGCACAUAUUUUUAUAUAACAAUGAAUUGAAAGAUAUUUUUAACUGAAGGAUAAUAAAGAGAGGCAUAUCAAAACAUAAGAGCUGCAGCUAAAGCAGAACUCAAGGGAAAAUAUAUCGUCCUAAAAUCUAUGUAUACAAAAAAGAAAACAAGCUGAAGGAUCAGUGAUCUAAACUUCCAUCUCAAGAAGCUGAAUACGUAAAUCUACCCAAAGAAAUCAGAAAGCAUUUCUAUGUUUCCAAUGCUAAAGAGAAGAGCAAAACCCAAUUAAAUAGAAAAAAAUCAAUGAAGCUAAAGCUUAGUUCUUUGAAAAAGUAAUACAAUUGUUAAAGCCCUCAAGCAAGGUUAAUCCAUGAAAAAAGAGAGAAAAUAUAAGCUGCCAGUACCAGCAACAAGUAUAUUUUAACUGUAUACUACAUAUAUAAAACACUGAGCAUGAAGAGGAGGAGGAAGACGGGGGAAGAAAAACAUGUGUUUUGGAGCCAUCCAGAAGAACUAUAUUCCAGAUUCCAUUCUAGUCAAUUUAAUCCAAUAUGCAUUUGUUGGAAGAGAAUAUAAACUACUAUUAGUUUGGUAUGAAAGGCCUAGAAGGAAAAAGCACAUGAAUUUU
This 6623-nucleotide long non-coding RNA is filed under the name Homo sapiens (human). Its description in RNAcentral is "HSALNT0069555". The record is from RNAcentral. Lineage: Eukaryota; Metazoa; Chordata; Mammalia; Primates; Hominidae.